GGAGAGGUGACAGAGUGGUCGAUUGUGCGGCACUGGAAAUGCCGUGUACCUUCACCGGUACCGAGGGUUCGAAUCCCUCCCUCUCCG
This 87-nucleotide transfer RNA is filed under the name Planctomycetales bacterium 71-10. RNAcentral's name for it is "tRNA-Ser". It matches the Rfam family "tRNA". Rfam says of the family: Transfer RNA (tRNA) molecules are approximately 80 nucleotides in length. Their secondary structure includes four short double-helical elements and three loops (D, anti-codon, and T loops). Further hydrogen bonds mediate the characteristic L-shaped molecular structure. tRNAs have two regions of fundamental functional importance: the anti-codon, which is responsible for specific mRNA codon recognition, and the 3' end, to which the tRNAs corresponding amino acid is attached (by aminoacyl-tRNA synthetases). tRNAs cope with the degeneracy of the genetic code in two manners: having more than one tRNA (with a specific anti-codon) for a particular amino acid; and 'wobble' base-pairing, i.e. permitting non-standard base-pairing at the 3rd anti-codon position. Lineage: Bacteria; Pseudomonadati; Planctomycetota; Planctomycetia; Planctomycetales. The record is from RNAcentral.